Long non-coding RNA from Felis catus (domestic cat), 719 nucleotides. RefSeq lists it as uncharacterized. Lineage: Eukaryota; Metazoa; Chordata; Mammalia; Carnivora; Felidae. The record is from RefSeq and is a predicted model, not a curated record. The transcript is spliced from 2 exons.
AUGAACUCAGGAAGAUUAUAGUUUUGUGAUUCUUGUUGAAAAUAUUGUUGGUUCUCUAAUGUUUGCUCUUCCAGAUUAAGGACACUUUCUCUCAAGAUAUCUAUGAUAUACAGAAAUGUCAUAUUCAUUUGCAAACUGAAACAUUUAUCUUUUUUCUCUACAUAACUCCCCUGAAAUUCAAAAACUCUCAGUGAGUAUUCUUUCUUUCAUGGCAAUUACAGUUUGCAUAAGUUCAGUAAGAAUCUGUUCAUCUUGUAACAGGUCACCAUUGGAAAUACUGGUUAUUUUACCAAGGCUUUGACUGGAAUGUCAUAUUUGAGAGUGACAUUCAUAGACUCAGAUAUCACCAGAGAGCUUUAAGGAACUAAGGUUGGCUUUAUGAAACAUAGAGCCAUAAAGUCCCUUGGAAAUGUUGGCCUGAUACCUUGCUUACAGAGUUCCCAGCAGCCUCACCAGCUGAGUAAAGAAGAUCACUUCCUGGCAGGUGCAGGACCCUCAGGAUAUCUUGGGGACCUCAUGAAGAGGAAUUAGCCCUAUUCUACAGAGACCUCUUCCGGGUUCUUCUUGCCCUGUUUGCCGUGUACGUGAAACCCCACCACAGAUAUGGAAGCUGAAAACUAUAAAUUACCCUGACCCCCCUUCAUUCGGGGCUCAGAUCUUUGGAGAAGUGGUCUCCUCUGAACCCGCCGGCGUUAAAUAAAUCUCUGAUUCACCAAGAU